RNAcentral lists this ribosomal RNA (497 nucleotides) under uncultured bacterium. RNAcentral's name for it is "partial 16S ribosomal RNA". It matches the Rfam family "Bacterial small subunit ribosomal RNA", at positions 28 to 507 of the family's 1533-position model. The record is from RNAcentral.
GAUGAACGCUGGCGGCGUGCCUAAUACAUGCAAGUCGAGCGAACAGACGAGGAGCUUGCUCCUCUGACGUUAGCGGCGGACGGGUGAGUAACACGUGGAUAACCUACCUAUAAGACUGGGAUAACUUCGGAAAACCGGAGCUAAUACCGGAUAAUAUAUUUAACCGCAUGGUUCAAUAGUGAAAGACGGUUUUGCUGUCACUUAUAGAUGGAUCCGCGCCGCAUUAGCUAGUUGGUAAGGUAACGGCUUACCAAGGCAACGAUGCGUAGCCGACCUGAGAGGGUGAUCGGCCACACUGGAACUGAGACACGGUCCAGACUCCUACGGGAGGCAGCAGUAGGGAAUCUUCCGCAAUGGGCGAAAGCCUGACGGAGCAACGCCGCGUGAGUGAUGAAGGUCUUCGGAUCGUAAAACUCUGUUAUUAGGGAAGAACAAAUGUGUAAGUAACUAUGCACGUCUUGACGGUACCUAAUCAGAAAGCCACGGCUAACUACGUG